UUUCCGUAGGUGAACCUGCGGAAGGAUCAUUCAUAAUAAAGUGUUUUAUGGCACUUUUUAAAAAUCCAUAUCCACCUCGUGUGCAAUGUUAGAUCUCGUCAAUCUUGGCGAGAUUUUUAUACAUCAACUCAUUUUUUAACUAAUUUGUCUGAAAAAUAUUAUGAAUACUUAAUUCAAAAUACAACUUUCAACAACGGAUCUCUUGGCUCUC
Molecule: unclassified non-coding RNA, 211 nt
Filed under: plant metagenome
Description: partial contains small subunit ribosomal RNA, internal transcribed spacer 1, and 5.8S ribosomal RNA
Source: RNAcentral